RNAcentral lists this ribosomal RNA (253 nucleotides) under uncultured bacterium. Its description in RNAcentral is "partial 16S ribosomal RNA". It matches the Rfam family "Bacterial small subunit ribosomal RNA", at positions 524 to 776 of the family's 1533-position model. The record is from RNAcentral.
UACGUAGGGAGCAAGCGUUGUCCGGAAUCAUUGGGCGUAAAGCGCACGUAGGCGGCAUUGCAAGUCGGAUGUGAAAUCCCUCAGCUUAACUGGGGAACUGCGUCUGAUACUGGCGAGCUUGAGUGCAGGAGAGGAACGCGGAAUUCCAGGUGUAGCGGUGAAAUGCGUAGAUAUCUGGAGGAACACCGGUGGCGAAGGCGGCGUUCUGGACUGCAACUGACACUGAGAAACGAAAGCCAGGGUAGCAAACGGG